UACGUAGGGUGCGGGCGUUAAUCGGAAUUACUGGGCGUAAAGCGUGCGCAGGCGGUAAUGUAAGACAGAGGUGAAAUCCCCGGGCUUAACCUGGGAACUGCCUUUGUGACUGCAUUGCUGGAGUACGGUAGAGGGGGGUGGAAUUCCGCGUGUAGCAGUGAAAUGCGUAGAUAUGCGGAGGAACACCGAUGGCGAAGGCAGCCCCCUGGACCUGUACUGACGCUCAUGCACGAAAGCAUGGGGAGCAAACAGG
This 253-nucleotide ribosomal RNA is filed under the name uncultured bacterium. Its description in RNAcentral is "partial 16S ribosomal RNA". It matches the Rfam family "Bacterial small subunit ribosomal RNA", at positions 524 to 776 of the family's 1533-position model. The record is from RNAcentral.